This 73-nucleotide transfer RNA is filed under the name Cordylochernes scorpioides. Its description in RNAcentral is "tRNA-Thr". It matches the Rfam family "tRNA". From Rfam's summary of the family: Transfer RNA (tRNA) molecules are approximately 80 nucleotides in length. Their secondary structure includes four short double-helical elements and three loops (D, anti-codon, and T loops). Lineage: Eukaryota; Metazoa; Arthropoda; Arachnida; Pseudoscorpiones; Chernetidae. The record is from RNAcentral.
UCCAGGGUAGCCUAGUGGACAUGGCAUCUGCCCGGUAAGCGGAACGUUGUGGGUUCGAUUCCCGCCCUUGGAC